This 860-nucleotide ribosomal RNA is filed under the name uncultured bacterium. Its description in RNAcentral is "bacterial SSU rRNA". It matches the Rfam family "Bacterial small subunit ribosomal RNA", at positions 118 to 963 of the family's 1533-position model. The record is from RNAcentral.
UGGGAAACCUACCUCUUAGCAGGGGAUAACAUUUGGAAACAGAUGCUAAUACCGUAUAACAAUAGCAACCGCAUGGUUGCUACUUAAAAGAUGGUUCUGCUAUCACUAAGAGAUGGUCCCGCGGUGCAUUAGUUAGUUGGUGAGGUAAUGGCUCACCAAGACGAUGAUGCAUAGCCGAGUUGAGAGACUGAUCGGCCACAAUGGGACUGAGACACGGCCCAUACUCCUACGGGAGGCAGCAGUAGGGAAUCUUCCACAAUGGGCGAAAGCCUGAUGGAGCAACGCCGCGUGUGUGAUGAAGGGUUUCGGCUCGUAAAACACUGUUGUAAGAGAAGAAUGACAUUGAGAUUAACUGUUCAAUGUGUGACGGUAUCUUACCAGAAAGGAACGGCUAAAUACGUGCCAGCAGCCGCGGUAAUACGUAUGUUCCAAGCGUUAUCCGGAUUUAUUGGGCGUAAAGCGAGCGCAGACGGUUAUUUAAGUCUGAAGUGAAAGCCCUCAGCUCAACUGAGGAAUUGCUUUGGAAACUGGAUGACUUGAGUGCAGUAGAGGAAAGUGGAACUCCAUGUGUAGCGGUGAAAUGCGUAGAUAUAUGGAAGAACACCAGUGGCGAAGGCGGCUUUCUGGACUGUAACUGACGUUGAGGCUCGAAAGUGUGGGUGGCAAACAGGAUUAGAUACCCUGGUAGUCCACACCGUAAACGAUGAGUGCUAGGUGUUUGAGGGUUUCCGCCCUUAAGUGCCGCAGCUAACGCAUUAAGCACUCCGCCUGGGGAGUACGACCGCAAGGUUGAAACUCAAAGGAAUUGACGGGGACCCGCACAAGCGGUGGAGCAUGUGGUUUAAAUUCGAAGCAACGCG